UGGGGAAUAUUGGACAAUGGGCGCAAGCCUGAUCCAGCCAUGCCGCGUGAGUGAUGAAGGCCCUAGGGUUGUAAAGCUCUUUCACCGGUGAAGAUAAUGACGGUAACCGGAGAAGAAGCCCCGGCUAACUUCGUGCCAGCAGCCGCGGUAAUACGAAGGGGGCUAGCGUUGUUCGGAAUUACUGGGCGUAAAGCGCACGUAGGCGGAUUGUUAAGUGAGGGGUGAAAUCCCAGGGCUCAACCCUGGAACUGCCUUUCAUACUGGCAAUCUCGAGUCCGAGAGAGGUGAGUGGAAUUCCGAGUGUAGAGGUGAAAUUCGUAGAUAUUCGGAGGAACACCAGUGGCGAAGGCGGCUCACUGGCUCGGUACUGACGCUGAGGUGCGAAAGCGUGGGGAGCAAACA
Molecule: ribosomal RNA, 402 nt
Filed under: uncultured bacterium
Lineage: Bacteria
Also listed under: 1 other name
Description: partial 16S ribosomal RNA
Rfam family: Bacterial small subunit ribosomal RNA
Source: RNAcentral